RNAcentral lists this ribosomal RNA (1721 nucleotides) under Klebsiella pneumoniae. RNAcentral describes it as "partial 23S ribosomal RNA". It matches the Rfam family "Bacterial large subunit ribosomal RNA", at positions 1 to 1767 of the family's 2925-position model. Lineage: Bacteria; Pseudomonadati; Pseudomonadota; Gammaproteobacteria; Enterobacterales; Enterobacteriaceae. The record is from RNAcentral.
GGUUAAGCGACUAAGCGUACACGGUGGAUGCCCUGGCAGUCAGAGGCGAUGAAGGACGUGCUAAUCUGCGAAAAGCGUCGGUAAGGUGAUAUGAACCGUUAUAACCGGCGAUGUCCGAAUGGGGAAACCCAGUGCAAUUCGUUGCACUAUCGUUAACUGAAUACAUAGGUUAACGAGGCGAACCGGGGGAACUGAAACAUCUAAGUACCCCGAGGAAAAGAAAUCAACCGAGAUUCCCCCAGUAGCGGCGAGCGAACGGGGAGCAGCCCAGAGUCUGAAUCAGCUUGUGUGUUAGUGGAACGGUCUGGAAAGUCCGACGGUACAGGGUGAUAGUCCCGUACACCAAAAUGCACAGGUUGUGAACUCGAAGAGUAGGGCGGGACACGUGGUAUCCUGUCUGAAUAUGGGGGGACCAUCCUCCAAGGCUAAAUACUCCUGACUGACCGAUAGUGAACCAGUACCGUGAGGGAAAGGCGAAAAGAACCCCGGCGAGGGGAGUGAAAAAGAACCUGAAACCGUGUACGUACAAGCAGUGGGAGCACCUUCGGGUGUGACUGCGUACCUUUUGUAUAAUGGGUCAGCGACUUAUAUUCUGUAGCAAGGUUAACCGUAUAGGGGAGCCGCAGGGAAACCGAGUCUUAACUGGGCGUUAAGUUGCAGGGUAUAGACCCGAAACCCGGUGAUCUAGCCAUGGGCAGGUUGAAGGUUGGGUAACACUAACUGGAGGACCGAACCGACUAAUGUUGAAAAAUUAGCGGAUGACUUGUGGCUGGGGGUGAAAGGCCAAUCAAACCGGGAGAUAGCUGGUUCUCCCCGAAAGCUAUUUAGGUAGCGCCUCGUGAAUUCAUCUUCGGGGGUAGAGCACUGUUUCGGCUAGGGGGUCAUCCCGACUUACCAACCCGAUGCAAACUACGAAUACCGAAGAAUGUUAUCACGGGAGACACACGGCGGGUGCUAACGUCCGUCGUGAAGAGGGAAACAACCCAGACCGCCAGCUAAGGUCCCAAAGUCAUGGUUAAGUGGGAAACGAUGUGGGAAGGCACAGACAGCCAGGAUGUUGGCUUAGAAGCAGCCAUCAUUUAAAGAAAGCGUAAUAGCUCACUGGUCGAGUCGGCCUGCGCGGAAGAUGUAACGGGGCUAAACCAUGCACCGAAGCUGCGGCAGCGACACUAUGUGUUGUUGGGUAGGGGAGCGUUCUGUAAGCCUGCGAAGGUGUGCUGUGAGGCAUGCUGGAGGUAUCAGAAGUGCGAAUGCUGACAUAAGUAACGAUAAAGCGGGUGAAAAGCCCGCUCGCCGGAAGACCAAGGGUUCCUGUCCAACGUUAAUCGGGGCAGGGUGAGUCGACCCCUAAGGCGAGGCCGAAAGGCGUAGUCGAUGGGAAACAGGUUAAUAUUCCUGUACUUGGUGUUACUGCGAAGGGGGGACGGAGAAGGCUAUGUUAGCCGGGCGACGGUUGUCCCGGUUUAAGCAUGUAGGCUGGUUAUCCAGGCAAAUCCGGAUAAUCAAGGCUGAGGUGUGAUGACGAGGCACUACGGUGCUGAAGUAACAAAUGCCCUGCUUCCAGGAAAAGCCUCUAAGCAUCAGGUAACAUCAAAUCGUACCCCAAACCGACACAGGUGGUCAGGUAGAGAAUACCAAGGCGCUUGAGAGAACUCGGGUGAAGGAACUAGGCAAAAUGGUGCCGUAACUUCGGGAGAAGGCACGCUGGUGUGUAGGUGAAG